RNAcentral lists this long non-coding RNA (1618 nucleotides) under Homo sapiens (human). RNAcentral describes it as "non-protein coding lnc-SEPT14-5:1". Lineage: Eukaryota; Metazoa; Chordata; Mammalia; Primates; Hominidae. The record is from RNAcentral.
AGCUAUGACAGAGACUCCACUUUCAACGUGUUUGUGGGAAAAGGACAGCUGAUCACAGGGAUGGACCAGGCUCUUGUUGGGAUGUGCGUAAACGAGAGACAUUUCGUGAAGAUUCCCCCAAAGCUUGCCUACGGAAGUGAAGGAGUUUCUGGUGUGAUCCCCCCCAAUUCAGUGCUUCAUUUUGAUGUACUUCUGAUGGAUAUUUGGAAUUCUGAAGACCGGGUUCAGAUUCACACCUAUUUCAAGCCCCUGAGUUGCCCUCAGACCAUCCAGGUGUCUGAUUUUGUGAGGUACCACUACAACGGGACGUUCCUGGACGGAACUCUGUUUGAUUCGAGAGAAGCGCAUCAUCACCAUUCCUCCUUUUCUGGCCUAUGGAGAGGAUGGAGAUGAGGAGAUGCAGGGUGGGCUUUGCCAAAGGCCACUGGAAGGAGCUCAGGCUUGGCGGCAUCUGGUUUGCUUGUCUGGGCCUGCUCCUUUGCAUGGUAUAACAAACGGGAAAGACAUUCCCGGUCAGGCAUCUCUGGUGUUUGAUGUUGCAUUAUUGGACUACUCUCAGAACCGCACGUUUGACACGUACAUUGGGCAGGGCUACGUGAUUCCUGGGAUGGAUGAAGGUCUACUUGGUGUUUGCAUUGGAGAGAAGCGAAGGAUUGUGGUCCCCCCUCACCUGGGGUAUGGAGAGGAAGGAAGAGCCCCAGCUUGGCUGUGCUGGUGUUUGACAUCCAUGUGAUCGACUUCCACAACCCUUCGGACUCCAUCAGCAUCACCUCCCACUACAAACCCCCCGACUGCUCAGUGCUGAGUAAGAAGGGAGAUUACCUCAAAUAUCACUACAAUGCCUCACUUCUGGAUGGGACCCUGCUGGACUCCACGGAGAGGGUGAAGCAGGCAGGAAGCUGCAGGCCGGCGGUGGAUGGGGCCAGGAAGCAUGCAGGGGGAGUGAGGACCGUGUAUGAGAGAAACACUGCCCAAGAGAGAAGAAAGAAAAUCACAGGACCCGAGGAAAAAGAAUGAGUGGUGUGUUCAGAGAUGACACAUGACAACAAAUUGUUUGCUUGGAGGAUUUUCUUACGCGUGCGUGUUUAAACUGGCCUCAAGGAGGAAGAAGAAACAUGCGUUCCUGGAUGACUGAGUUCUGGAAUAUUCUGUCAUAAGACUUUGCAACUGGAGUAGCCCCAGAAAAAGGCAGGCAGUGGGAGUUGGCUCCCUCCCCAAAGCCAUCCCUGAGUUGGCUUUGUUUUGGGUUCCUCCCAGGUGGAAUUUAGGCAAAACUUACAGUAUUGUUCUGGGAUCUGGGCAAGUUGUGUUGGGGAUGGACAUGGGUCUCAGAGAGAUGUGCGUUGGCGAGAAACGGACAGUGAUCAUUCCGCCUCACCUGGGCUAUGGGGAAGCUGGCGUGGAUGGAGAAGUGCCCGGCAGUGCCGUAUUAGUGUUUGACAUUGAGCUGCUGGAGCUGGUGGCUGGCCUUCCCGAGGGGUACAUGUUCAUAUGGAAUGGUGAGGUGUCACCCAACCUUUUUGAAGAAAUUGACAAGGAUGGCAACGGAGAAGUCCUCCUGGAAGAGUUCUCAGAGUACAUUCACGCCCAGGUGGCAUCUGGCAAAGGGAAACUCGCU